This 242-nucleotide long non-coding RNA is filed under the name Lathyrus oleraceus (garden pea). RNAcentral's name for it is "Pisum sativum (pea) long non-coding RNA (PSAT_LNC040256)". Lineage: Eukaryota; Viridiplantae; Streptophyta; Magnoliopsida; Fabales; Fabaceae. The record is from RNAcentral.
UGCCUUUGGUGAUUCUCCUAAUAUGAUUUUUUUAAUAUUUAUUCUUGUUUAUUCAUAAUUGUUUUUUCUAUUCCUAUUCUUUUUUUUUCGAAAAUGUUUUUUACUUAAGUAUAAACCAUUAAUUGCUUGAUGUUACGCAUCGUCAAUUAGUUUUGUGUUCACAAUUUCUGAUUUUUAAGAAUUAAGAUUGUGAUUAUUGGUCAAGUUUAGGUUGUGGAUCAUUUACAUUUUUUAGUUCUGAG